Molecule: ribosomal RNA, 253 nt
Filed under: uncultured bacterium
Lineage: Bacteria
Description: partial 16S ribosomal RNA
Rfam family: Bacterial small subunit ribosomal RNA
Source: RNAcentral
UACGGAGGAUCCAAGCGUUCUCCGGAUUUAUUGGGUUUAAAGGGUGCGUAGGUGGCCUGUUAAGUCAGGGGUGAAAGACGGUAGCUCAACUAUCGCAGUGCCCUUGAUACUGAUGGGCUUGAAUGAACUAGAGGUAGGCGGAAUGUGACAAGUAGCGGUGAAAUGCAUAGAUAUGUCACAGAACACCAAUUGCGAAGGCAGCUUACUAUGGUUUUAUUGACACUGAGGCACGAAAGCGUGGGGAUCAAAUAGG